CGAGACUGAUGGCAUAGAAACUCGGGCAACAACUGAAGCUGCAAUUUUCAGUGCAAGAUUAGUAAGUAAAAAUCAGAUAAAACUUCAAUGUUAAAUUCGUGUGUGUGUGUGUGUUUGUGUGUGUGUGUUUAUGCAGGUAUUGAAUCCAAGGACUUGU
This 157-nucleotide small RNA is filed under the name Marmota monax (woodchuck). The record is from RNAcentral. Lineage: Eukaryota; Metazoa; Chordata; Mammalia; Rodentia; Sciuridae.